RNAcentral lists this ribosomal RNA (460 nucleotides) under uncultured bacterium. Its description in RNAcentral is "partial 16S ribosomal RNA". It matches the Rfam family "Bacterial small subunit ribosomal RNA", at positions 338 to 795 of the family's 1533-position model. The record is from RNAcentral.
CCUACGGGAGGCUGCAGUGAGGAAUAUUGGUCAAUGUGCGCGAGCCUGAACCAGCCAAGUAGCGUGAAGGAUGACUGCCCUACGGGUUGUACACUUCUUUUAUAAAGGAAUAAAGUGAGGCCCGUGUGCCUUUUUGUAUGUACUUUAUGAAUAAGGAUCGGCUAACUCCGUGCCCGCAGCCGCGGUAAUACGGAGGAUCCGAGCGUUAUCCGGAUUUAUUGGGUUUAAAGGGAGCGUAGUUGGGUUGUUAAGUCAGUUGUGAAAGUUUGCGGCUCAACCGUAAAAUUGCAAUUGAUACUGGCAGCAUUGAGUACAGUUGAGGUAGGCGGAAUUCGUGGUGUAGCGGUGAAAUGCUUAGAUAUCACGAAGAACUCCGAGUGCGAAGGCAGCUUACUAAACUGCCACUGACAUUGAUGCUCGAAAGUGUGGGUAUCAAACAGGAUUAGAUACCCCAGUAGUC